RNAcentral lists this transfer RNA (73 nucleotides) under Robertmurraya siralis. RNAcentral describes it as "Bacillus siralis tRNA". It matches the Rfam family "tRNA". Rfam says of the family: Transfer RNA (tRNA) molecules are approximately 80 nucleotides in length. Their secondary structure includes four short double-helical elements and three loops (D, anti-codon, and T loops). The record is from Rfam by way of RNAcentral. Lineage: Bacteria; Bacillati; Bacillota; Bacilli; Caryophanales; Bacillaceae.
GAGCCAUUAGCUCAGUCGGUAGAGCAUCUGACUUUUAAUCAGAGGGUCGUAGGUUCGAGUCCUUCAUGGCUCA